This is a ribosomal RNA of Rattus norvegicus (Norway rat), 152 nucleotides long. Ensembl annotates it as 5.8S ribosomal RNA. NCBI's taxonomy places the organism in Eukaryota, Metazoa, Chordata, Mammalia, Rodentia, Muridae. The record is from Ensembl.
GACUCUUAGCAGUGGAUCGCUUGGCUCGUGCGUCGAUGAAGAAUGCAGCCAGCUGCAAGAAUUAAUGUGAAUUGCAGGACACAUUGAUCAUGGACACUUCAACGCACUUGCGGCCCCAGAUUCCUCCUGGGGCUACGCCUGUCUGCCUGUCU